GGAAAUGUGUGAUGAGGUGCUGGAGACACAAAACAUCGAGAAGCCCUGCUCAUCAGAGACAGAGAAAGAAAUGUGUAAUGAGGCACUGGGGACAGAGAACAUCGAGAAGCCCUGCUCAUCAGAGACAGAGAAAACACAUUUACAGGAAAUGUGUAAUGAAGCGCUGGGGACACAGAACAUUGAGAAGCCCUGCUCAUCAGAAACAGAGAAAGAAAUGUGUAAUGAGGCGCUGGGGACACAGAACAUCGAAAAGCCCUGCUCAUCAGAAGCAGAGA
Molecule: long non-coding RNA, 275 nt
Organism: Thalassophryne amazonica
Lineage: Eukaryota; Metazoa; Chordata; Actinopteri; Batrachoidiformes; Batrachoididae
Exons: 4
Source: RefSeq, a predicted model, not a curated record